CCCGCCCUGAGCGCUUCCUCCGAAGCACUAUAGCCCAGCCGUGUCUGCAAGCCGAGCCGCGGAACGUGCCCCGACCGAACAGCCCUCCAGAGCCGACCCGAACUCGGGCCGGCAAAGGCAGCCUCUGGGCGGAUGAACCGUUCCGGGCCAGGGAGGCCCGGGAUCCCCGCUCCGCGGUUCACCCGACGGGCUCAGGGCGGUCGGGGCACGCGCCCGGGACCACGUUUCUCCUCCUCUGCUGCUGCGUGACUGCCCCGCACCUGGAGCCCUGCUCGGGGCGGUCUGCACCCUCCAAACACCCCUGCGAGUGCAGGAGGGAUGCCGAGGCAGGAUUUGUCUUGCAGAAUAGCCAGUGCCCCAGACCUGAAAACAGAAGAGGUGCACGUGUCCAAUCAAGAAUACUUGGAAUACUUAAUUGGACACAUAAUAUAGAUCACAAGGAAAAUCCAGCUGUGAUGUGUGUCACCCCAGGAUCGACAGUAAAAAGCAGGGAAAGGGUCCCUCAGCCCUGGCCUGAGCCCUGACUGCAGCCCGGCUCCCUGCCCCCAGCACGUUCUGCACAGCAUCUCUGGCAAGCCAGCUGCUGAUCAGCUCACCGCCCUCCCUCCCCUGUGGGAGAGUACAGGGACACACACAUGAUCAAUCACAUGCGGCUCUCCCUUCCUCGAGGACUCCGGGAGACAGAUAUUGUGCUCCAUAGAUAUGCACAAUAUGGCGGACUCGAUUCAUGCAAACUCAAUCAGCUCCUGAAGGUUCCUGACUUCAGUGCAGGUUGCGGGAGGUGUGGGGAUGCCUCCGGCACCCAGAGCUCUUUGAGCUAGGGCUUGGUGAGAUGAAAACUCAAAUCUCUGAAUCUCUGGCUUCCAGAUGACUAUGGAAAUGCAAUGAUGCUUGAGUGCUGCUCCUCACUGAGCACCACAGUGUGUGUCACGAUUCCUGCCGGAUUCUCUGCCCUGGCUGGAAAGGCAGAUCAGAGAGUGCUUGGGUUUGUGGUCCCUGCAUGGCAGCACAAAAGGAGAUGAAGAGGAAAUGGUAGGCGUCUGAAGAAGGGAUUUGGGCAGAGCUGCUGGUUGUGCUUUUGACAAACAGAAACCUGCACAAACACCGGCGAGGGUGGAAAGAGUCCUGGCUAACUUUGGAAGAUGCCUCCAGAUGACUCCAGUAGGCCUUUUCACAGAUGCAGCCAUCUGUGACAUUGUGGUCACAGCCUCUCCACCAACUUAGACAUUUCCACAGGGCCGGAGCAGCUGAAGCACUCUCAUAAAGUGUUCCCAACACCCACCUUGUUUCUCUCACUUUGUAUUUUGUCUGGCUUUGAAUACCUUGGACCAAUAUGGAGUUAAUACCCCUUAGUUCCCUGAAAUAGAGUGCUGUUUUGAUAGUGUUAUAGCUAGUGUCUAGAUGUCCCUCCAAAGCCUCAUGCAGUCAGAGGUGGGGCUUUUUCAGAAGUGGCUGGAUCUCACGUGUGUGACACUGGAAUUGAUUCACGGUAGAAUGCUAGGCUCAAAGGCACUAGGAUUAAGGGAGUGAGUGCUACCUACCCUAAGUAGUCUGGAUAAGAUUUCUUUUUAAAAAGGGCAGAAAGACACUGUUAAGGUCCCUUUUUGCUUUGCUACCUUCUGCCCGCCAUGAACUGUUCUCCUCUGCAAUACCACCCUGCCUUGGAGCCAGCCAAUUAUGGACUGAAACAUCUACAAAUUGUGAGCUAAUAAACCUUUCCUUUAAUUUUG
This 1730-nucleotide long non-coding RNA is filed under the name Heterocephalus glaber (naked mole-rat). RNAcentral's name for it is "lncRNA (ENSHGLG00000030362.2)". The record is from RNAcentral. Lineage: Eukaryota; Metazoa; Chordata; Mammalia; Rodentia; Bathyergidae.